CUCUCGGGGUUACAGCCUUGCUGAAUUAUUCACCCUUGUCUUUUGCGUACUUCUUGUUUCCUUGGUGGGUUCGCCCACCACUAGGACAAACAUAAACCUUUUGUAAUUGCAAUCAGCGUCAGUAACAAAUUAAUAAUUACAACUUUCAACAACGGAUCUCUUGGUUCUGGCAUCGAUGAAGAACGCAGCGAAAUGCGAUAAGUAGUGUGAAUUGCAGAAUUCAGUGAAUCAUCGAAUCUUUGAACGCACAUUGCGCCCUUUGGUAUUCCAAAGGGCAUGCCUGUUCGAGCGUCAUUUGUACCCUCAAGCUUUGCUUGGKGUUGGGCGUCUUGUCUCUAGCUUUGCUGGAGACUCGCCUUAAAGUAAUUGGCAGCCGGCCUACUGGUUUCGGAGCGCAGCACAAGUCGCACUCUCUAUCAGCAAAGGUCUAGCAUCCAUUAAGCCUUUUUUCAACUUUUGACCUCGGAUCAGGUAGGGAUACCCGCUGAACUUAAGC
RNAcentral lists this ribosomal RNA (496 nucleotides) under Alternaria sp. BAB-5516. RNAcentral describes it as "eukaryotic LSU rRNA". The record is from RNAcentral. Lineage: Eukaryota; Fungi; Ascomycota; Dothideomycetes; Pleosporales; Pleosporaceae.